RNAcentral lists this ribosomal RNA (1456 nucleotides) under Herpotrichia macrotricha. RNAcentral describes it as "bacterial SSU rRNA". It matches the Rfam family "Eukaryotic small subunit ribosomal RNA", at positions 39 to 1142 of the family's 1831-position model. The record is from RNAcentral. Lineage: Eukaryota; Fungi; Ascomycota; Dothideomycetes; Pleosporales; Melanommataceae.
AAAGAUUAAGCCAUGCAUGUCUAAGUAUAAGCAAUUAUACCGUGAAACUGCGAAUGGCUCAUUAAAUCAGUUAUCGUUUAUUUGAUAGUACCUUACCACUUGGAUAACCGUGGUAAUUCUAGAGCUAAUACAUGCUAAAAACCCCGACUUCGGAAGGGGUGUGUUUAUUAGAUAAAAAACCAAUGCCCUUCGGGGCUCUUUGGUGAUUCAUGAUAACCUAACGGAUCGCAUGGCCUUGCGCCGGCGACGGUUCAUUCAAAUUUCUGCCCUAUCAACUUUCGAUGGUAAGGUAUUGGCUUACCAUGGUUUCAACGGGUAACGGGGAAUUAGGGUUCGAUUCCGGAGAGGGAGCCUGAGAAACGGCUACCACAUCCAAGGAAGGCAGCAGGCGCGCAAAUUACCCAAUCCCGACACGGGGAGGUAGUGACAAUAAAUACUGAUACAGGGCUCUUUUGGGUCUUGUAAUUGGAAUGAGUACAAUUUAAACCCCUUAACGAGGAACAAUUGGAGGGCAAGUCUGGUGGACAUUCAGCUCCCAUUCUGCUGACGCCAGAGAUAGUCGGGCAUCUCCAUCUCGAUGGAGGUGUUACGCCGGCUAGUCGAUGUACCUGAAUCCUUGAUGGGGAGGUACCGGCAAGACAACCUGGAUCGGGGAAGGCUAAGGUGCCGGAAGGUGCUAUGCUAAUCCCGAGCAGAGCUACCAUGGAGCGAUCUGUGGAUAGCCUGUGUAGAGCACGCUAAGGUGUCGGCCAGCUCACGUAGUUGGCUUAAGGGACGUGCCAUUCCCAUCCGAAAGGGUGGCUGCCAGCAAUAGCGCCCAUCACGCGAAGGCUGGCAGGUUCAAACAUUGUGCUCUCGUGCAAAAUGUUUGAGUGUUGAAAUAGGCCAGCAGCCGCGGUAAUUCCAGCUCCAAUAGCGUAUAUUAAAGUUGUUGCAGUUAAAAAGCUCGUAGUUGAAACUUGGGUCUGGCUAGCGGGUCCGCCUCACCGCGUGCACUUGUCCGGCUGGACCUUUCCUUCUGGAGAACCUCAUGCCCUUCACUGGGUGUGUUGGGGAACCAGGACUUUUACUUUGAAAAAAUUAGAGUGUUCAAAGCAGGCCUUUGCUCGAAUACGUUAGCAUGGAAUAAUAGAAUAGGACGUGCGGUCCUAUUUUGUUGGUUUCUAGGAUCGCCGUAAUGAUUAAUAGGGAUAGUCGGGGGCAUCAGUAUUCAAUUGUCAGAGGUGAAAUUCUUGGAUUUAUUGAAGACUAACUACUGCGAAAGCAUUUGCCAAGGAUGUUUUCAUUAAUCAGUGAACGAAAGUUAGGGGAUCGAAGACGAUCAGAUACCGUCGUAGUCUUAACCGUAAACUAUGCCGACUAGGGAUCGGGCGAUGUUUCUAUCUUGACUCGCUCGGCACCUUACGAGAAAUCAAAGUUUUUGGGUUCUGGGGGGAGUAUGGUCGCAAGGCUGAAA